AUACCGAUGGGCGAAGGCAGCCAUCUGGCCUAAUACUGACGCUGAGGUACGAAAGCAUGGGGAGCAAACAGGAUUAGAUACCCUGGUAGUCCAUGCCGUAAACGAUGUCUACUAGCCGUUGGGGCCUUUGAGGCUUUAGUGGCGCAGCUAACGCGAUAAGUAGACCGCCUGGGGAGUACGGUCGCAAGACUAAAACUCAAAUGAAUUGACGGGGGCCCGCACAAGCGGUGGAGCAUGUGGUUUAAUUCGAUGCAACGCGAAGAACCUUACCUGGCCUUGACAUACUAGAAACUUUCCAGAGAUGGAUUGGUGCCUUCGGGAAUCUAGAUACAGGUGCUGCAUGGCUGUCGUCAGCUCGUGUCGUGAGAUGUUGGGUUAAGUCCCGCAACGAGCGCAACCCUUUUCCUUACUUGCCAGCAUUUCGGAUGGGAACUUUAAGGAUACUGCCAGUGACAAACUGGAGGAAGGCGGGGACGACGUCAAGUCAUCAUGGCCCUUACGGCCAGGGCUACACACGUGCUACAAUGGUCGGUACAAAGGGUUGCUACACAGCGAUGUGAUGCUAAUCUCAAAAAGCCGAUCGUAGUCCGGAUUGGAGUCUGCAACUCGACUCCAUGAA
This 619-nucleotide ribosomal RNA is filed under the name Acinetobacter sp. Its description in RNAcentral is "bacterial SSU rRNA". It matches the Rfam family "Bacterial small subunit ribosomal RNA", at positions 705 to 1324 of the family's 1533-position model. Lineage: Bacteria; Pseudomonadati; Pseudomonadota; Gammaproteobacteria; Moraxellales; Moraxellaceae. The record is from RNAcentral.